AUGCCUGUUUUAAUAAAAGAGACAACGCUGGGGAGGAGGAGGAGAGUCUCCGGGACGACGCGGCAGAGUUCGUGUCUGAUCGGAGCGCCACUCCCCCCUGGCCAGGGGACAAGUCUUCCAAGUCUGGUCUCAACUUGUGGUGAACUUUGUUGGUGCGCCUGUCUGAGUACACUUCUGAGGAUUUCGACGACAACUGCCUGCCUCACCUGCGGACUUUCCUCUGCACUUUAUUGGGCGGUCAGCAAAAGACAUUGUUACCAUAUGGAUUUUAGAAAGGACCCGAGAGCAGACCAGAGCGCGGUGGUAAGAAGGUCCAAAUGAGUUUUAUUUCGGGGGGCAACACAAGACUGCGGGUAACUCUCCUGAAAGUCCACCAGCGCUUUUUAAAAACUGAAUUUUUCAUCUAUGGAGGGAGUAGACGGCAGAUGUUUCCACAGAUGCUCUUCACCAGUGGUCAGUGAGUGAUGCAGCAGAUGAGCGGGAGUUGACUGGCUUCAACCAGCUACUGUCUCAAUGUCUCCAGCCCAUAGUGUGGAUUCUCUACGAGAUCAGACAGCAGCUUCACUCCUGAACCCUGCAGAUGGUUCCCACUCAGGUCCAGUUCUCUGAGAUGGGAGGGAUUGGACCUCAGCGCCGAGGCCAGAGAGUCAUAGCUGAUCUCUGAUAAACUGCAGUUAAUCAAUCUAAAUAAAGAAGGGAAAGUUUUAUAAGGUUAUAAGUGAAACCAGUAUUAAUCUGAAAGGUUAAUCAAAGGCAUGAUCUGUAAAUAUUUAAUUUAGUUCCAGGUUAAAAAAUGAUAGUAAUAUGUAAUUACCACAAUUCCAACCUCUCAGGUUUGCACUGUUCCAAAGGAGAAUAUAUAUUGUUCUGGCCCUCACUCUUCCCAGGUUCUCCCACCUCUUUCCCUCCCAUCUCAUCAUGGAGAUCCAUCUCACCUGUGGCUCAUCUUUAAAGGCACAACCUGUCUUAGAUGACUUCCUGUCUCCCUCACCAUCUCCCUCCUCGUUGGCUGGUGUCUACCAGGCACCCUCACCUAGUUUUGUCUAAUUUUGGUUACCAUCUGUCGGCUUUUUCAUUGUCCUUAAAUCAAUUUAUCGUGAAUAAGUGGUCCCCGUGUGGCCCUCCCUCCUGAAGGAACUGGGCACAACACACACACUCAGAAAGUGUGAGGACCCUCGGAUGGAAUAAUGGACAUUUUUGAGAAUGGUGUUUACCUCAGAGUUUCCAGUCGGCAGUUUGGAAAGUGGAGAAAACCACAGAGCAGCUUCACUCCUGAAUCCUGCAGCUGGUUCCAACUCAGGUCCAGUUCUCUGAGAUGGGAGGGAUUGGACCUCAGCGCCGAGGCCAGAGAGCCACAGCUGAUCUCUGAUAAACUGCACUUAAUCAAUCUGAAAAAUGCAGGAUGAGGUUAUACGGUGCAGGUCUGCAUGUUAUCUGCGUCAGUACUAAACCUACGUUAGUUCUUAGUUGGGUCAGAUCUGAAUUCACGAUAUUACAAGGAAUUUUUUUAAUGUGGUGCAUCACAGCAGUGUUGAGAACAGCCUCACUUCACCAUCUUAGCAGCUGGUAUAUAGGUAGAAAAAUGAAGACUGACCUGAGCCACUCCAGUUUACAGUUUGGACUCUCCAGUCCAGAACAGAGCCGCUUCACUCCUGAAUCCUGCAGCUGGUUCUGACUCAGGUCCAGAACCCUCAGAUGCGAGUGGUUGGACUUCAGAGCUGAGGCCACAGAAUCACAGCUGGUCUCUGAUAACCUGCAGCCUCUUAGGCUAAAAUAACAAUUAUUUUGAGAGAAGACAAAUAAAAAUCAACAUAUACCAGAGCAAAACACAGCUUCCAAGCAACAAACCUCUGGUCCUGCACCGGCUUAUCUGCCGUAUGUUCCUAUUUUGGGUUCUUUCAGGACGGUUGGACAAGAUCUCCAGCGUAUGUAAAGUGUGUGUGGGUCAAAAUACCUUCCAAGUUUGUGAGACCACAUUUCUCAAUAGCACUCAACUCUUGUCAGGAGUUGGGACAAAGCGACCCCCUCCUGAUAGCUUGUGGGCGAUGCUGCAGCGACCCUGCAAUCCCUACACUCUCUGGUGAAACCAAAUCAAAGGUUUUAGACACUGCUGGAUGCUGGAAGGGUGGCUAUAGUCUGGACCCAUAGUUCCCCUGACUGCACAUUUCUCCAACAAUGAUUGGCAGCUGGUGUCACUUGUUCUCCAGAUGAGAGAAGGAAAGAGAGCCCCCCCACAGUGUGUUUGAUUGCCCCACUGCAAGCUCAAUGCUGCCAGAAAACAUUGCAGGAGCAUCAAUUCCCCUCAGGGCAUCAACAAGGACCUCAGGAAAAGGUGCAGCUGCCACCUACUAGAGAGAAGCACACUGAGCUGAGAUUCAAAGCCCUCUCCUCCCAAGAGAAGAGCUUGUUUGUUGGAGGCUCUUCUGGGCGAUACCUGGUGCCACAGCUCCAGCUCAGCCCGUCUCUGGAGCUGAGGUGGAGCUUAGCAAGUUUCAUGGUUCUCCACCACUUCCUCUCGCUGAGGACCUUCUCAGCUGGUGGUUUCUGCUCCACCUUCCAAGUUGAGCAGGUGAUACUUCUGCAUUCCUGCCACCAGUGUCUCUGCAGAAAGAGUCUUCUCUACUGUUUUAUAUUAUAUUGUAGAAAAUUACGAUUUUUGGCUGAUGUCUUAGAUGUUGUUGACUAAGAGCAGGUUUUUCUUUAAUAACAAAGAAAGAUUCGAUGAGAAGAGCAAAUGUAUUAUUUUAUGAGCUACUUCCACUACUAUUAUAUACACAUACUUCCAUAUUGUCUUAGAUUGCAAGCUGCAUUUAUUGCAUCGUUCAUAGAAAGUCAUAUUUGUAAGGAGAAAAACUCAAAUAAGGUAAUUUUGUUUCAUGACCAUUACAACAGAAGGAGGCGAUGAACAAACAGAUUUAUAUAAAAAUGUGUGAAAACUUAUGGAUGGAAACCUUUUUAAAACGGUUGCAUUGUGUAGAAUCGGUGUAGAAUCAACUUGUUGACUUCUGAUUUGGACUCCAAUGGAAGUGAGGUGCAACAAUUGUGGAUGCUGAAAGCUUCAGAUCUUCAUGAAGGUUUCUGUGGUUGGACUGACCUGCUGCCCCUUUAAGAGGGAGGCAGGUUUGGGCUUCUGGCUGGAAUGAAGCCACCUAAGAUGAGAAUGACUGCAGGCUUUCGGUACCAAGGUUUAACAGGGUGCUCACUUCACACUUGGGCUUUUCUCUUUUUUGGGAUGGCUUUUCUCAGGAGAGAAGGGGCAUGGCACACUGCAGCAGCUUUCUUUUGGGGUUUCUAGUUUUCCUUCUGAUCUUUAAAAGACAGGAAGAACCAUUUUUGAUUGGUCUGAAUGUUUGGGCGGUUUUGUGGCCAGCCUAAAAUAAAACAAGACAAAUCUACAACUGAUACUUCCUUUCUAGUCAUUGAUGACCAUCCUCACAUGGGACAGAUUUCCACAACCAAUUUAAUACUGCAAAUCUGUCCUGUGUGGUCUUUUUUCUGAGAACUGUAACACUACGUUUAUAACAAAGAUCAAACAUGGA
Molecule: long non-coding RNA, 3539 nt
Organism: Takifugu rubripes (torafugu)
Lineage: Eukaryota; Metazoa; Chordata; Actinopteri; Tetraodontiformes; Tetraodontidae
Source: Ensembl